GGGGCUGAUUCUGGAUUCGACGGGAUUUGCGAAACCCAAGGUGCAUGCCGAGGGGCGGUUGGCCUCGUAAAAAGCCGCAAAAAAAUAGUCGCAAACGACGAAACCUACGCUUUAGCAGCUUAAUAACCUGCUUAGAGCCCUCUCUCCCUAGCCUCCGCUCUUAGGACGGGGAUCAAGAGAGGUCAAACCCAAAAGAGAUCGCGUGGAUGCCUUGCCUGGGGUUGAAGCGUUAAAACGAAUUAGGCUAGUCUGGUAGUGGCGUGUCCGUCCGCAGGUGCCAGGCGAAUGUAAAGACAGACUAAGCAUGUAGUACCGAGGAUGUAGGAAUUUCGGACGCGGGUUCAACUCCCGCCAGCUCCACCA
Molecule: transfer-messenger RNA, 363 nt
Filed under: Salmonella enterica subsp. diarizonae
Lineage: Bacteria; Pseudomonadati; Pseudomonadota; Gammaproteobacteria; Enterobacterales; Enterobacteriaceae
Rfam family: transfer-messenger RNA
About the family: Bacterial tmRNA, also known as 10Sa RNA or SsrA, is named for its dual tRNA and mRNA-like properties. Its role is to liberate the mRNA from a stalled ribosome. To accomplish this part of the tmRNA is used as a reading frame that ends in a translation stop signal.
Source: RNAcentral